CGAGAGAGAGAGAGAGACUGACUAUCGGAGCGAGAGAGAGAGAGAGAGACUGACUAUCGGAGCGAGAGAGAGAGAGACUAACUAUCAGAGCGAGAGAGAGAGAGACUGACUAUCGGAGCGAGAGAGAGAGAGACUGACUAUCGGAGCGAGAGAGAGAGAGACUGACUAUCGGAGCGAGAGAGAGAGAGAGACUGACUAUCGGAGCGACAGAGAGAGAGACUGACUAUCGGAGCGACAGAGAGAGAGACUGACUAUCGGAGCGAGAGAGAGACACUGACUAUCGGAGCGAGAGAGACUGACUAUCGGAGCGAGAGAGACUGACUAUCGGAGCCAGAGAGAGAGAGAGAGAGAGAGAGAGACUGACUAUCGGAGCGAGAGAGAGAGACUGACUAUCGGAGCGAGAGAGAGACUAACUAUCAGAGCAAGAGAGAGAGAGAGACCGACUAUUGGAGCGAGAGAGAGAGACUAUCAGAGCGCGCGCACGAGAGAGAGAGAGAGACUGACUGUCAGAGCGAGAGAGAGAGACUGACUGUCAGAGCGAGAGAGAGAGAGACAGACUAUCGGAGAGAGAGAGAGACAGACUAUCAGAGAGAGAGAGAGAGAGAGACAGACAGACUAUCAGAGAGAGAGAGAGACAGACAGACUGACUAUCAGAGAGAGAGAGAGACAGACAGACUGACUAUCAGAGAGAGAGAGAGAGAGACAGACUGACUAUCAGAGAGAGAGAGACAGACAGACAGACUGACUAUCAGAGAGAGAGACUGACUAUCGGAGCGAGAGAGACUAACUAUCGGAGCGAGAGAGACUAACUAUCGGAGCGAGAGAGACUAACUAUCGGAGCGAGAGAGAGAGACUGACUAUCAGAGCGAGAGAGACUGACUAUCGGAGUGAGAGAGAGAGACUGACUAUCGGAGUGAGAGAGAGAGACUGACUAUCAGAGAGAGAGAGAGACUGACUAUCGGAGAGAGAGACUGACUAUCGGAGAGAGAGACUGACUAUCGGAGAGAGAGACUGACUAUCGGAGAGAGAGACUGACUAUCGGAGAGAGAGACUGACUAUCGGAGAGAAAGAGAGACUGACUAUCGGAGCGAGAGAGACUGACUAUCAGAGCGAGAUAGAGAGAGACUGACUAUCGGAGUGAGAGCGAGACUGACUAUCAGAGAGAGAGAGACUGACUAUCAGAGAGAGAGAGAGACUGACUAUCGGAGAGAGACUGACUAUCAGAGAGAGAGAGAGAGACAGACAGACUGACUAUCAGAGAGAGAGACUGACUAUCGGAGAGAGAGAGAGACUGACUAUCGGAGAGAGAGAGACUGACUAUCAGAGAGAGAGAGACUGACUAUCGGAGAGAGAGAGACAGACUAUCGGAGAGAGAGAGACAGACUAUCAGAGAGAGAGAGAGAGAGAGACAGACAGACUGACUAUCAGAGAGAGAGAGAGACAGACAGACUGACUAUCAGAGAGAGAGAGAGAGAGACAGACUGACUAUCAGAGAGAGAGAGACAGACAGACAGACUGACUAUCAGAGAGAGAGACUGACUAUCGGUGUGAGUGAGCACGAGAGAGAGAGAGAGAGAAGUUUCUGGAGCACAUGAAUGAAAAUGGUAGAGUACGUACACACGCACGCAGCUCCAGGAUUGUGCAUUCUGAUUGGCUGGAAUGUGUUGAUUAAUAUUCUAUAACAGCAGUUCUGACAGUAGUGCAGCGGCAAACCAGCAGCCGGUUUCACUAAGUUAGACUAUGACUUUAACUUAGACAGCGGGUAUAGUCGGGCUUAGCAUAGACGUCUGACAAAUACUGUUGCACAAAGCAGUUAAGACUCCGACUAUCUUAAGUCGUACUAUGCUGCAAAGGAUUGUGGGUAUUUUCAGACUCUUUUCAAAACAAAAAAAAUGGCGGACAGUGGUCGUUCAGUGCCGUUUAGCCACUCGGAAAAUCUGGCUAUAUUAGAGGAAUUUAAUUCCUACAAAGACGUUUUAUUAGGCAAAUUCAGCGAAGAAUGUAGCAAUAAGAAAAAACAUGAAGUGUGGGAAAAAUAACGUCGUCUGUGAAUAGCGUUAAUCCAUCUGCGAGAAGAGAUGCUGCCGUGCAGAAACGGAAACUAAAAGUAACCACCGAAAUGGUCAUCAACAUUUAUGGCGCCGAGUCGCCCUUAUUCUGGGGAGUGAAAGGAGAGCGGAGUAACCGGCUUCGCCAGACCCAGCAGCAACUCCCCUAGCAACGUUGAAGCUGAGGCUCCUUCACCCUCGGAGUUGUCAUCACCCAGUACCUGCGCGGAUGUGACACUACACGAAGAGCCUACCGAUCAGGAGGAAAUUACAGUUUCCUUGAUCCCUGAACCGGUUGUGGAGGACUCCCAGACAUCUGCCACCACCACCAGAACCACCACCAUGGCCAUGGUGCUUGACAAGCAA
Molecule: long non-coding RNA, 2414 nt
Organism: Neoarius graeffei (lesser salmon catfish)
Lineage: Eukaryota; Metazoa; Chordata; Actinopteri; Siluriformes; Ariidae
Exons: 2
Source: RefSeq, a predicted model, not a curated record